This 800-nucleotide ribosomal RNA is filed under the name uncultured bacterium. RNAcentral describes it as "bacterial SSU rRNA". It matches the Rfam family "Bacterial small subunit ribosomal RNA", at positions 85 to 880 of the family's 1533-position model. The record is from RNAcentral.
ACGCCGGCGAGUGGCGAACGGGUGAGUAAUGCAUCGGAACGUACCCAGUAGUGGGGGAUAACUUACCGAAAGGUAAGCUAAUACCGCAUACGCACUGAGGUGGAAAGCAGGGGACCGCAAGGCCUUGCGCUAUUGGAGCGGCCGAUGUCGGAUUAGCUAGUUGGUGGGGUAAAGGCCUACCAAGGCGACGAUCCGUAGCGGGUCUGAGAGGAUGAUCCGCCACACUGGAACUGAGACACGGUCCAGACUCCUACGGGAGGCAGCAGUGGGGAAUUUUGGACAAUGGGCGCAAGCCUGAUCCAGCCAUGCCGCGUGAGUGAAGAAGGCCUUCGGGUUGUAAAGCUCUUUCGGCCGGGAAGAAAUCGUGGUGGCUAAUACCUGCCAUGGAUGACGGUACCGGACUAAGAAGCACCGGCUAACUACGUGCCAGCAGCCGCGGUAAUACGUAGGGUGCGAGCGUUAAUCGGAAUUACUGGGCGUAAAGCGUGCGCAGGCGGUUGUGUAAGACAGGCGUGAAAUCCCCGGGCUCAACCUGGGAACUGCGCUUGUGACUGCACGGCUAGAGUACGGCAGAGGGGGGUGGAAUUCCACGUGUAGCAGUGAAAUGCGUAGAGAUGUGGAGGAACACCGAUGGCGAAGGCAGCCCCCUGGGUCGAUACUGACGCUCAUGCACGAAAGCGUGGGGAGCAAACAGGAUUAGAUACCCUGGUAGUCCACGCCCUAAACGAUGUCGACUAGUUGUUGGAGGGGUAAAACCCUUUAGUAACGUAGCUAACGCGUGAAGUCGACCGCCUGGGGAG